AAGUCGUAACAAGGUCUCCGUAGGUGAACCUGCGGAGGGAUCAUUAUUGAAUUUUCCUAAAGAAAAAUUUUGUGCUUUGCUUUCUCUUGAAAGAGAGAGAGAGGACAGUACAAGAUUUUUCCCAAACAAACGAUCACAACUACUAGCUGUGUGAAGCAAAAAGAAAAAGAAAAUUGAUUUGGAUGAGAAACAAACAAAAAAAAGUGUUUGCCUGAUAAUCAAGAUGAUUUGGAUUGCAGAAAGAAAUACAACUUUCAGCAACGGAUCUCUUGGCUCUC
Molecule: unclassified non-coding RNA, 278 nt
Filed under: fungal sp.
Lineage: Eukaryota; Fungi
Description: partial internal transcribed spacer region
Rfam family: Eukaryotic small subunit ribosomal RNA (bases 1-46)
Source: RNAcentral